RNAcentral lists this ribosomal RNA (468 nucleotides) under uncultured bacterium. Its description in RNAcentral is "partial 16S ribosomal RNA". It matches the Rfam family "Bacterial small subunit ribosomal RNA", at positions 28 to 507 of the family's 1533-position model. The record is from RNAcentral.
GACGAACGCUGGCGGCGUGCUUAACACAUGCAAGUCGAACGGAAAGGCCCUGCUUUUGUGGGGUGCUCGAGUGGCGAACGGGUGAGUAACACGUGAGUAACCUGCCCUUGACUUUGGGAUAACUUCAGGAAACUGGGGCUAAUACCGGAUAGGAGAUCCUGCUGCAUGGUGGGGGUUGGAAAGUUUCGGCGGUUGGGGAUGGACUCGCGGCUUAUCAGCUUGUUGGUGGGGGAGUGGCUUACCAAGGCUUUGACGGGUAGCCGGCCUGAGAGGGUGACCGGCCACCAUGGGACUGAGAUACGGCCCAGACUCCUACGGGAGGCAGCAGUGGGGAAUAUUGCACAAUGGGCGGAAGCCUGAUGCAGCAACGCCGCGUGCGGGAUGCCGGCCUUCGGGUUGUAAACCGCUUUCGCCUGUGACGAAGCGUGAGUGACGGUAAUGGGUAAAGAAGCACCGGCUAACUACGUG